RNAcentral lists this long non-coding RNA (645 nucleotides) under Nicotiana benthamiana. RNAcentral's name for it is "long non-coding RNA (NBEN_LNC009736)". Lineage: Eukaryota; Viridiplantae; Streptophyta; Magnoliopsida; Solanales; Solanaceae. The record is from RNAcentral.
UUUCUUUUCUCUCUCUUCCUAUUUAUAAAGGAUAUUACUAACAAACCCUAAAAAGUACACUGUGGGGGAAUAUUCAACAGAAUAUUCCUAUUCACUAUUACAGGAACAUUCUAACAAUUGCAUUCAUUGCUUUCUACUCGACCUCGGCAAUGCUAUUCCCCUUUGAGCUACUCUCUCGCCACUAGAUCGUACUUGGUUCGGCUCAACCUCAGCUCGUCCAUCUGCAUUCGCUAAGCUAUACCUAAUUUUGGCCCAUACAAAUGUGAUGAUGGUGAAGUAACGACUGUGAACGAAAAUGUAGAUUUAAAAAGAGUAAGUGGAUGCGGAUUCAAGGAUAACUAAUGAAGAAUUGUUGUCGGUGGGGGAAUUUUGUGCUUAUAAGUAUAGUUGACGGCCAAUUUUGAAAAAUGAACGCCAAUUUGGGAAUAUUCUUCAAAGGAGUGUGGUAGUGUCGAGUGACGACUAUGGAGGAUAGGUGGCAGAGCAUUGUCUGAGUAUGGAAUUCAUGGUGGUAGAGAGUUAUUUGGGUGGUGAAAGAUGAAUUUUCUUCCUAUUUUGAUGCACAUGAAAAAUGAAGGAUGUAAUACAUAUCUGGGCCAAAUUGUGAGAGGCCGGCCGAAGAUGGAGUCUAUACUUGGAAAGAAG